UACGGGGGGGGCAAGCGUUGUUCGGAAUUACUGGGCGUAAAGGGUUUGUAGGUGGCUUGCUAAGUCAGACGUGAAAUCCCUCAGCUUAACUGGGGAACUGCGUCUGAGACUGGCAGGCUUGAGUGCAGGAGAGGAACGCGGAAUUCCUGGUGUAGCGGUGAAAUGCGCAGAUAUCGGGAGGAACACCUGUGGCGAAGGCGGCUUUCUGGGCCUUACCUGACGCUGAGACGCGAAAGCGUGGGGAGCGAACCGG
RNAcentral lists this ribosomal RNA (253 nucleotides) under uncultured bacterium. Its description in RNAcentral is "partial 16S ribosomal RNA". It matches the Rfam family "Bacterial small subunit ribosomal RNA", at positions 524 to 776 of the family's 1533-position model. The record is from RNAcentral.